This 464-nucleotide ribosomal RNA is filed under the name uncultured bacterium. RNAcentral's name for it is "partial 16S ribosomal RNA". It matches the Rfam family "Bacterial small subunit ribosomal RNA", at positions 28 to 507 of the family's 1533-position model. The record is from RNAcentral.
GACGAACGCUGGCGGCGUGCUUAACACAUGCAAGUCGAACGGAAAGGCCCCUUUGGGGGUACUCGAGUGGCGCACGGGUGAGUAACACGUGAGUAACCUGCCCUUGACUUCGGGAUAACUUCAGGAAACUGGGGCUAAUACCGGAUAGGAAUCCUUGCUGCAUGGUGGGGUUGGAAAGCUUCGGCGGUUUUGGAUGGACUCGCGGCUUAUCAGCUUGUUGGUGGGGUAGUGGCUUACCAAGGCCUUGACGGGUAGCCGGCCUGAGAGGGCGACCGGCCACAUUGGGACUGAGAUACGGCCCAGACUCCGACGGGAGGCAGCAGUGGGGAAUAUUGCACAAUGGGCGGAAGCCUGAUGCAGCAACGCCGCGUGCGGGAUGACGGCCUUCGGGUUGUAAACCGCUUUCAGCAGGGGCGAAGCUUGUGGUGACGGUACCUGCAGAAGAAGCACCGGCUAACUACGUG